RNAcentral lists this long non-coding RNA (1298 nucleotides) under Parus major (Great Tit). RNAcentral's name for it is "lncRNA (ENSPMJG00000010818.1)". Lineage: Eukaryota; Metazoa; Chordata; Aves; Passeriformes; Paridae. The record is from RNAcentral.
AAGCAUUUCAGAGUGUUAUCCCAAUGAGAGCACAAAGCCUUCCUCUCCUUAGGUCUUCAUUUAACAAAGUGCUUAAGCAAAAGCUUAUAGAAGGAUCUAAGUACAAGUUGUGUCAAAUUUGGAAGGCAUUUUUGUUGAAGUUAUCAAAUCCUAGCAGAGGAUUGAUUUCUAUGUAAUCAAAUUACUUCAUUAAAUCACAGCCUCAUAUUUCUCUUCUGAACUCUUGAGACAGCUACUGAAUUUAACAAAAGGCCAUUAACUGCAGCCCAGGGCAGGCAGUGCCUUGCUGGCACAAAGACGACUUUCCUGGCUGACUUCUCCAAAGGUUCUGAACCUGCCAGGGAAUUUAUCUGGAUAUUGCAUGCAAUGAACUGUCAAAGCAAGCAAAACCUGUGAUCUGCACAGGGGCCACCAGCCAAUGGACUGACUGCCUCAAACCAGGUUGAGACAGGAGGCAGAUGUUGGAACCAGCUUGUUGGAAAUUUGGUUUAUCUGUAGCUGCACAGUGGAAUACUUGCAGUUGCUCCAAAUGCACAUGCAGAAAGCUUUUUUUUCCAUAGGAAUUUUAAAGGAAACUGUGAGGCCAGAAAUCAUUAAGAGGCCAAAUUUCAAGUUUAAAGGUCACUGUAAUUGUCAGAACAAAUAAUAAUAUUUUUUAUUUGUUUUUUUUGUUUUUCAAAGAUGGAAAAUACAGUGGUCAUGUUUCCAUAACAGGUGAAGUGAGAUUGCAGCAUUUCUGUUUUCCCAGCAGGAGCCAUUUUCCUGUCUCUCUUUCCACGGUGCUAUUGACAGAUAUCCAUUGGCACACACAUCAGAGGAGUGAAAGGAAUACCAUGGAGAAGACAAGAUGGCAAGAGGUUCUCUUGAGACCCCAGAUGUCAGAAAAAUUCCCAAAUAUGCCAGGAUUUCUCCAGGACAAUAUUUUAUUCCAUUAAUUUUUGCAGAGGAUAAGGGAGUUGAAGAACAUGGAAAUACUUGGUAGAAGACACAUGGCUAUGGUGCCAGGUACAGAAAGCAAUCUGAAACUUUAUGAUUUUUUCCUUAUUUUUUAGGAUUGUCCACAGAAUUAGUUAGAAAGGAACAGAAAAUAGGUGUGAGAGAAAGAAAAGCAGUAAGAGGCCACACAAAACAUCACAGAGUAAGACUUUUGUCUUACUGAUAUUUCAAGCUGGAUCCUCAAAUCCUUGUUUCAGACAUUGAUUUUGUAGCAAAUAACCAUAUCAGGGAAGAAAGAUAUAUAUAACUAUAAUAUGCAGCCAAAACUGAGCUGAAGCAUAAAAGGAUAUUUCGAGGUCUAC